Molecule: ribosomal RNA, 220 nt
Filed under: uncultured bacterium
Lineage: Bacteria
Description: partial 16S ribosomal RNA
Rfam family: Bacterial small subunit ribosomal RNA
Source: RNAcentral
UAAUGUAUGGGGAUCUGCCCGAUAGAGGGGGAUAACUACUGGAAACGGUGGCUAAUACCGCAUAAUGUCUACGGACCAAAGCAGGGGGCUCUUCGGACCUUGCACUAUCGGAUGAACCCAUAUGGGAUUAGCUAGUAGGUGGGGUAAAGGCUCACCUAGGCGACGAUCUCUAGCUGGUCUGAGAGGAUGAUCAGCCACAUGGGACUGAGACACGGCCCAG